This 563-nucleotide ribosomal RNA is filed under the name uncultured Glomeromycotina. RNAcentral's name for it is "SSU rRNA". It matches the Rfam family "Eukaryotic small subunit ribosomal RNA", at positions 548 to 1114 of the family's 1831-position model. The record is from RNAcentral. Lineage: Eukaryota; Fungi; Glomeromycota.
UUGGAGGGCAAGUCUGGUGCCAGCAGCCGCGGUAAUUCCGGCUCCAAUAGCGUAUAUUAAAGUUGUUGCAGUUAAAAAGCUCGUAGUUGAAUUUCGGGGUCAGUAGGUUGGUCAUGCCACUGGUAUGUACUGGUCUCACUGAUUCCUCCUUCCUGAUGAACUGUAAUGCCAUAAUUUGGCGUUGCAGGGAAUCUGGACUGUUACUUUGAAAAAUUAGAGUGUUUAAAGCAGGCUAACGCCUGAAUACAUUAGCAUGGAAUAAUGAAAUAGGACGUUCGAUCCUAUUUUGUUGGUUUCUAGGAUUGACGUAAUGAUUAAUAGGGAUAGUUGGGGGCAUUAGUAUUCAAUUGUCAGAGGUGAGAUUCUUGGAUUUAUUGAAGACUAACUACUGCGAAAGCAUUUGCCAAGGAUGUUUUCAUUAAUCAAGAACGAAAGUUAGGGGAUCGAAGACGAUCAGAUACCGUCGUAGUCUUAACCAUAAACUAUGCCGACUAGGGAUCGGAUGAUGUUAAUUUUUUAAUGACUUAUUCGGCGCCUUACGGGAAACCAAAGUGUUUGGGUUC